RNAcentral lists this non-coding RNA (209 nucleotides) under Lysinibacillus macroides. RNAcentral's name for it is "T-box sequence". It matches the Rfam family "T-box leader". Rfam says of the family: Uncharged tRNA acts as the effector for transcription antitermination of genes in the T-box leader family. T-boxes are found upstream of many aminoacyl-tRNA synthetase genes and some amino acid biosynthetic genes usually in Gram-positive bacteria. Lineage: Bacteria; Bacillati; Bacillota; Bacilli; Caryophanales; Bacillaceae. The record is from RNAcentral.
GUAAAGACAGUGAUGAGGAAUAGUAGAUUUGAGGUUCUUUUUAGAGAGCUAGCGGUUGGUGAAAGCUAGUAGGAAAGCAAAUUGAACUCACCUUCUGAGUCUGCCCGUGUGAAAAACAUGUGCCGUUUCUUCUGCGUUAAAGAGGCUUGAGCCGAGUGUAAUCACUAAUUUGGGUGGUACCGCGGGAGUGCAAUUCUCUCGUCCCUUCU